RNAcentral lists this ribosomal RNA (318 nucleotides) under Triticum aestivum (bread wheat). RNAcentral describes it as "partial small subunit ribosomal RNA". Lineage: Eukaryota; Viridiplantae; Streptophyta; Magnoliopsida; Poales; Poaceae. The record is from RNAcentral.
AUGCUUUUUGCAUGGCUGCUGCAUGCAUUUUUGAUGGGCGUCUUUCCUUCCUUAAUCUCUGGGGCAUGUAUCCUUAGAUCCCCAGCCUCUUGUACAUAUCUGUUAGUGAGAAAUCGAACAUACAUUGUACAGAUCCGCUUUGCCGCCCUUGCAACUCCAGUCAGUGCUUUUUUUGCAUUUUUUUUCUCCCUUCUUUUUGAGAGAUGGACAUCUAGUCAGUUAUCACAAGAAAGUGCUCUGCUAAUGCCAACUUCAUGCACCACCCUUGUCUUUAAAAGGCAAGGUAAUGAACACAGUCUAGUCCAACAGCACUACUAG